GCUCAGAACGAACGCUGGCGGCGUGCUCCCACAUGCAAGUCGAACGAACCUUCGGGUUAGUGGCGGACGGGUGAGUAACGCGUGACCAUCUGCCCUCAGGGGGGGGAUAACGGUUGGAAACGACCGCUAAUACCCCAUAUGCCGAGAGGUGAAAAGAAAUUCGCCUGAGGAUGAGCUCGCGUCUGAUUAGCUAGUUGGUGUGGUAAUGGCGCACCAAGGCUUCGAUCAGUAGCUGGUCUGAGAGGAUGAUCAGCCACACUGGGACUGAGACACGGCCCAGACUCCUACGGGAGGCAGCAGUGGG
This 304-nucleotide ribosomal RNA is filed under the name uncultured bacterium. RNAcentral describes it as "bacterial SSU rRNA". It matches the Rfam family "Bacterial small subunit ribosomal RNA", at positions 22 to 358 of the family's 1533-position model. The record is from RNAcentral.